RNAcentral lists this long non-coding RNA (791 nucleotides) under Homo sapiens (human). Its description in RNAcentral is "non-protein coding lnc-ATP2A2-4:1". The record is from RNAcentral. Lineage: Eukaryota; Metazoa; Chordata; Mammalia; Primates; Hominidae.
CCCAGGAGGUGGAGGUUGCACUGAUCCGAGAUUACACCAUUGCACUCCAGCCUGGGCAACAUGAGUGAAACUCCGUCUCAAAAAAAAAAAAAAAAAAAAGACAAGCAUCCAAGGACAUUUGCCGGGUAGAGAAGCAGCUAGGAUUAGAGAAACAGAGAUGUAGAAGCCCUUUCAGGGUCAGAACGAGAUAAACGUGGGCUGCAGGCCACGUGAGUGAGCACCCACGGUGCUGUUGAAUUUAGAGGUGGGCUACAACAGACCCGAGGCCCCCAGGAAGGCUUCACAGAGACAACCCCUUGAGGUGAGCCUUGAAGGCAAGAUGUAAGACAUGAAUGGUGGCCUCGCAGAAGCGGAUAUUCCCUCGAGGGGGUGAGAAACAGGCAACACCACAGAGGUGGGAAGGCAGCUGGCGCAUUUGGGAAUUGCCAGAUCGUUCUAGCUGCUACGGAACACGUGCAUAGGGUACCCACCAGGCAGGGCUUUCACCAGAGAAACAGAACCAGUAGGAGAUGGAGCUAUGUGGCAAGAGAUUUACUGCAAAGAAUUGGCUUAUGUGAUUGUAGGGGCUGGCUAGGAAAAUUCUAAAUCCUUGGGGCAGGCCAUUAGGAAGGGCAGACUCGAAACUCAGCCAGGACCUGAAGCAGCCGUUCACAGGGGGAAUUUCUUCUUUGGGGAAGCCUCAGCCUUGUUCUUAUAGUCAUUUAACUGAUUGAAUCAGGCCCACCCAGGACAUCUCAAAUCAUUAACUUAAAGUCAACUUUUUAUUAUUUUUUUUUAGACAAGGUCUUGCC